This 61-nucleotide transfer RNA is filed under the name Lamprigera yunnana. RNAcentral's name for it is "tRNA-His". Lineage: Eukaryota; Metazoa; Arthropoda; Insecta; Coleoptera; Lampyridae. The record is from RNAcentral.
GCUUAAAUAGUUUAAUUAAAAUUAUGAUUUGUGGUGUCAUAGAUGAGUUUUUCUUUAAGCA